This 284-nucleotide unclassified non-coding RNA is filed under the name Glomeraceae sp. Its description in RNAcentral is "partial contains 5.8S ribosomal RNA and internal transcribed spacer 2". The stretch from base 1 to 71 matches the Rfam family "5.8S ribosomal RNA", at positions 84 to 154 of the family's 154-position model. The record is from RNAcentral. Lineage: Eukaryota; Fungi; Glomeromycota; Glomeromycetes; Glomerales; Glomeraceae.
GUGAAUCAUCGAAUUUUUGAACGCAUAUUGCACUCUCUGGUAUUCCGGAGAGUAUGCCUGUUUGAGGGUCGCCUAAAUAAAUAUCGAUUCAUUGCUUUUUUUUUUAAAAAAAAAUGUUAUCGGAUCUGAGCCUUCUUUUAUAAUAAUUUUUUUUUUUUUAUUAAAGUGGCUUAAAAUUUUUUUUCGGGUAUGAUAAACGUAUUUUACGAUCAAUUUUGAUUAAAAAAGAACGUAUGAACAUACCAUCAAUUAUGUAAUACGUUGGACUAUGUUUUAUCUGGUUU